Molecule: microRNA precursor, 92 nt
Filed under: Canis lupus familiaris (dog)
Lineage: Eukaryota; Metazoa; Chordata; Mammalia; Carnivora; Canidae
Also listed under: 1 other name
Description: mir-8799 microRNA precursor family
Rfam family: mir-8799 microRNA precursor family
Source: Rfam by way of RNAcentral
UGGGGGAGCACCAGAUCUUGGGCUGUGUCCCCGGCGCCCUGGGCUCCCAGGCCUGUGCUGCUGGAAUCCCGCUCCCGGCCGCGCAGCCCCCU